AGCGAACGCUGGCGGCAGGCCUAACACACGCAAGUCGAACGAACCUUUCGGGGUUAGUGGCGGACGGGUGAGUAACACGUGGGAACGUGCCUUUAGGUUCGGAAUAACUCAGGGAAACUUGUGCUAAUACCGAAUGUGCCCUUCGGGGGAAAGAUUAAUCGACUUUAGAGGGGCCCGCGUCUGAUUAGCUAGUUGGUUGAGGUAAUGGCUCACCAAGGCGACGAUCAGUAGCUGGUCUGAGAGGAUGAUCAGCCACAUUGGGACUGAGACACGGCCCAAACUCCUACGGGAGGCAGCAGUGGGGAAUCUUGCGCAAUGGGCGGAAGCCUGACGCAGCCAUGCCGCGUGAAUGAUGAAGGUCUUAGGAUUGUAAAAUUCUUUCACCGGGGAAGAUAAUGACGGUACCCGGAGAAGAAGCCCCGGCUAACUUCGUG
RNAcentral lists this ribosomal RNA (434 nucleotides) under uncultured bacterium. Its description in RNAcentral is "partial 16S ribosomal RNA". It matches the Rfam family "Bacterial small subunit ribosomal RNA", at positions 29 to 507 of the family's 1533-position model. The record is from RNAcentral.